UACGUAGGUGGCAAGCGUUGUCCGGAAUCAUUGGGCGUAAAGAGCGCGUAGGUGGCUUGUCAGGUCCGAUGUGAAAACCUGGGGCUCAACUCCAGGCCUGCAUCGGAAACCGGCUUGCUAGAGUCUGGGAGAGGAGAGUGGAAUUCCUGGUGUAGCGGUGAAAUGCGUAGAUAUCAGGAGGAACACCGGUAGUGAAGGCGGCUCUCUGGAACAGUACUGACGCUGAGGCGCGAAAGCUAGGGGAGCGAACAGGAUUAGA
This 259-nucleotide ribosomal RNA is filed under the name uncultured prokaryote. RNAcentral describes it as "partial 16S ribosomal RNA". It matches the Rfam family "Bacterial small subunit ribosomal RNA", at positions 524 to 782 of the family's 1533-position model. The record is from RNAcentral.